UACAGAGGUCACGAGCGUUGUUCGGAUUCAUUGGGCGUAAAGGGUGCGUAGGUGGCGCCGUAAGUGGGGUGUGAAAUCCCGGGGCUUAACCUCGGGACUGCAUUCCAUACUGCGGUGCUUGAGGACUGGAGAGGAGACUGGAAUUUACGGUGUAGCAGUGAAAUGCGUAGAGAUCGUAAGGAAGACCAGUGGCGAAGGCGGGUCUCUGGACAGUUCCUGACACUGAGGCACGAAGGCCAGGGGAGCAAACGGG
This 253-nucleotide ribosomal RNA is filed under the name uncultured bacterium. RNAcentral describes it as "partial 16S ribosomal RNA". It matches the Rfam family "Bacterial small subunit ribosomal RNA", at positions 524 to 776 of the family's 1533-position model. The record is from RNAcentral.